CCCGCACAAGCGGAGGAACAUGUGGUUUAAUUCGAUGAUACGCGAGGAACCUUACCAGGGCUUGAAAUGUCGGAAGUAGUGAUCCGAAAGGUGAUCGACCUGUCAAAUCAGGAGCCGUCACAGGUGCUGCAUGGCUGUCGUCAGCUCGUGCCGUGAGGUGUCGGGUUAAGUCCCAUAACGAGCGCAACCCUCGUUGCCAGUUAAUUUCUCUGGCGAGACUGCCCCGCAAAACGGGGAGGAAGGUGGGGAUGACGUCAAGUCAGCAUGGCCCUUAUGUCCUGGGCAACACACACGCUACAAUGGAUAGUACAACAGGUAGCAACGGAGCGAUCCUGAGCUAAUCCCCAAAACUAUCCCCAGUUCGGAUUGUAGGCUGAAACCCGCCUGCAUGAAGUCGGAGUUGCUAGUAACCGUGAAUCAGCAUGUCGCGGUGAAUACGUUCUCGGGCCUU
This 451-nucleotide ribosomal RNA is filed under the name uncultured Chloroflexota bacterium. RNAcentral's name for it is "bacterial SSU rRNA". It matches the Rfam family "Bacterial small subunit ribosomal RNA", at positions 920 to 1382 of the family's 1533-position model. Lineage: Bacteria; Bacillati; Chloroflexota. The record is from RNAcentral.